RNAcentral lists this ribosomal RNA (492 nucleotides) under uncultured bacterium. Its description in RNAcentral is "partial 16S ribosomal RNA". It matches the Rfam family "Bacterial small subunit ribosomal RNA", at positions 29 to 507 of the family's 1533-position model. The record is from RNAcentral.
AGUGAACGCUGGCGGUAGGCCUAACACAUGCAAGUCGAACGGCAGCACAGUAAGAGCUUGCUCUUACGGGUGGCGAGUGGCGGACGGGUGAGGAAUACAUCGGAAUCUACUUUUUCGUGGGGGAUAACGUAGGGAAACUUACGCUAAUACCGCAUACGACCUACGGGUGAAAGCAGGGGAUCUUCGGACCUUGCGCGAUUGAAUGAGCCGAUGUCGGAUUAGCUAGUUGGCGGGGUAAAGGCCCACCAAGGCGACGAUCCGUAGCUGGUCUGAGAGGAUGAUAAGACACAUUGGAACGGAGACACGGUCAAGACUCCUACGGGGGGCAGCAGUGGGGAAUAGUGGACAAUGGGAGCAAGCCUGAUCCAGCAAUACCGCGGGGGGGAAGAAGGCCUUCGGGUUCUAAAGCCCUUUUGGUGGGAAAGAAAAGCAGCAGGUUAAUACCCAGAUGUGAUGACGGUAACCAAAGAAUAAGCAACGGCUAACUUCGUG